Molecule: RNase P RNA, 351 nt
Filed under: Fibrobacter sp.
Lineage: Bacteria; Pseudomonadati; Fibrobacterota; Fibrobacteria; Fibrobacterales; Fibrobacteraceae
Description: RNase P RNA component class A
Rfam family: Bacterial RNase P class A
About the family: Ribonuclease P (RNase P) is a ubiquitous endoribonuclease, found in archaea, bacteria and eukarya as well as chloroplasts and mitochondria. Its best characterised activity is the generation of mature 5'-ends of tRNAs by cleaving the 5'-leader elements of precursor-tRNAs.
Source: RNAcentral
AAGGGGCGAUGGAUGGUCGCUGUUUCGGCAGAGGAAAGUCCGGGCACCGCAGAGCAAAAUGCUGGCUAACGGCCAGGUUCAGCAAUGGACGGAAAGUGCCGCAGAAAAUAUACCGCCGUACUCGUUUCGGUAAGGGUGAAAUGGUGAGGUAAGAGCUCACCGCGCUUUUGGUGACAAGAGUGGCAGGGUAAACCCCAUUUGGUGCAAGACCAAGAAGAAGCUCGCCUUUGGCGCCAGCGGCUCGUUGGUUUGAGUUUCGGGUAGGUCGCUUGAGGUGUUUGGCAACAAACAUCCCAGAUAGAUGAUCAUCACCGCAAGGUACAGAACCCGGCUUAUAGUCGCCCCUUAUUU